AACGAACGCUGACGGCAUGCCUAACACAUGCAAGUCGAACGAGACCUUCGGGUCUAGUGGCGCACGGGUGCGUAACGCGUGGGAAUCUGCCCUUGGGUUCGGAAUAACAGCGAGAAAUUGCUGCUAAUACCGGAUGAUGACGUAAGUCCAAAGAUUUAUCGCCCAAGGAUGAGCCCGCGUAGGAUUAGCUAGUUGGUGAGGUAAAGGCUCACCAAGGCGACGAUCCUUAGCUGGUCUGAGAGGAUGAUCAGCCACACUGGGACUGAGACACGGCCCAGACUCCUACGGGAGGCAGCAGUGGGGAAUAUUGGACAAUGGGCGAAAGCCUGAUCCAGCAAUGCCGCGUGAGUGAUGAAGGCCUUAGGGUUGUAAAGCUCUUUUACCCGGGAUGAUAAUGACAGUACCGGGAGAAUAAGACUCCGGCUAACUCCGUGCCAGCAGCCGCGGUAAU
Molecule: ribosomal RNA, 451 nt
Filed under: uncultured bacterium
Lineage: Bacteria
Description: bacterial SSU rRNA
Rfam family: Bacterial small subunit ribosomal RNA
Source: RNAcentral